This is a non-coding RNA of Punica granatum (pomegranate), 1327 nucleotides long. NCBI's taxonomy places the organism in Eukaryota, Viridiplantae, Streptophyta, Magnoliopsida, Myrtales, Lythraceae. The record is from RefSeq and is a predicted model, not a curated record.
UAAUCAAUUCUUCUUCGUUCUUCCUUCUUCCUCUUCUUCUUGUUUGUAAUGUUCCACUUCCCCUAAAAUCCACUUUCAACUUCAACAAUCAUCAACAGAAGAAGAGCGCUGCCUGCCGCUGCGACUGCUGUCUGAUUUCAUCUUUCUGUUUCGUUCUGUUCGGGAUCCGAUCGAUUCGCAGAAGAAGAAAAGAAGGAAGAAUCUUCUAAUUAAUUUAAUUUAAUGGAAGAGAAGAACUUGAUGAGCAGGAGUGCCACCAUCAUAACGAGCCCCAAGAGCACCCAGGAGCUGGCUGUCGAAGGUCAGAGGCAUCUCGAAGAAACCGUGGAGGCGGCAUUCCAUGUCCUCACCUCCAUGAAGGACGAGCUCUGCAACCCGGCCCUCUGGUCCUCCUCCUCCUCCUCCUCCAACGGCCACCCCGUCCUCCCUAUCAACAGUGGCAACGGGGACUCCUCUUCUGACUCCACCUAUCACCCUGAUAAUACCUCCGGUUCCGGAGGAGGAGUAGCUGGAGGAGGUGGAGGUGCCCUAGAAGAAGCUCGCCUCCGUUAUAAGAGCUGCGUCUCUGCUCUUCGUGCUGUUCUCUCUGCAAUCCCAAACUCCCAAAAGUUUCCAUAUUCCGGAUAUUCCAAAGUUUUGAGCAAAUUCGUUGAAAGGGUAAAGAUAUCGUCUGGUCUCGCUGAGCUUGAACAAAUCUUCUUAAUGAGGCGGCUUUGCCUUAGGCUGCUAUAUGCUCCUGGUAGUAGUUAAGUUGCCAUUUGUUCUGGUCAUUUGAUCUCAUUCACAUGGUGUGGUGGACACUGUACAGGAUGUCAUUGUAUGGCUCGAUCAUUUGAUACCAGUUCGGCUAUGGGUAGUGCAUCAGUUGCUGACGAGACCGAACUUGAGAGGUUAGAAGAGCGUGCAGCAAACCUAAGAAAGGAGCUGGAGAAGAAGAACUACUAUCUCAAGCUUCUCAUAGAUCAGCUACGUGAUCUUAUUGCGGAUACAUCGACUUGGCAAAGUCCUUGUUCUGCUUAAAGCCAGGGAUGUAAUAUAUAUAUAUAUAUAUAUACUCUACAGUCCACCAAGGUGCUCUAUCUCCUGGAACAUCGUAGAAAACGCCAGGAUGGGCUGUACUGAUUGCGUCAUCGGAAGAACUGCUGAUCCUUGGCAGAGAAUUAAUUAGUUGAUUGUUUGUAUGAGAUUCGGCUUGACUAGGUCCUCUCAGAAGGGAUGUGUUUUAUAUUCUGUUGACCUUGUGGACCUAACUGUCACAAUCUCUAAACUAUCAGUUUAAGUUCUCCGUGUCACUAUCUCUAAACUAUCGCAAUCAGUUUAAGUUCUA